UUUUGUUAUAUAUCUUUGUUCCUCAAAUCUCCGAUCCUGAACCUAGCAUCCUCAAUAGUUCCCUUUUUCAUUUUCAGUUCAAGUACUGAUUGAUCAAAUUAGCAACUUAGCCAUCUGACUCUUCACUCUGUCUAUAAAUCAUAAAUGCUUCAAUAUGUUGAUACUUCUCUUUUCCUUAAAGUCUCAUAAGUCAUAAUCAAUCCUUUUUGGUUCUCUUUUUUCUAUAUAAGACACUAACUUUUGUGUCUUUCCCUGCAAAGAUAUGGUUUCCCCUUCACCUUUUGUCUUGUUUUUUAGAAAAGAAAAUUGGGAAGGGGAAGUAGAGGUAGAAAUUUUCCCUUCCAGCCUUUUGCUUAGAUUUGAUCUUCCCUGAACCGUCUUGCUGUUAGCCUGUAUAUUCCUCUCUAGUUGGGAGUGAGCUAAACAACUUCCUUUUCACCUUAACUUUCCAUUUCUCAUUGGAGAUUCUUGACCAUGCCAAGCCAUUACAAGCUUUUGUACGGGAUCUGAUGGGAGAAGAAUUUUCAGGUGGCUGUUUCUAAAAUUUGUGGGAUUCUGGAUGUGUGUGGUGCUUUUGGUCCUGUUUCAUUAUGGCAAGACUAUUGUGGUACAUUAUGGCACUGGAUUUUGAGUGUCUUUUGUCUAAAUUUAGUUUGAAUGUAGUUUACAGUUGUGUCCUUUGGUUACAUUUCGUUUACUGUGUCUUUGAGCUGUUGGAUUACAGAGUUCUUGACAAAGUUAAGUAGCUUUCCUUUAUAUAAGUUACCUUAUUUACUGGCUUUAUGAUUUUUAUGCACUAGUACCAAUAGAAUUUUCGGUGAGUUCAAGCGUCGUUGCUAUUUUUAAUUGCUUUAUUACGGUAUAUGUCAUUUCUGUUGCUAAGGGCACUGGAAGUCUGGAACCAACCAUGCUAUUUCAGAUCCAUUUCGAUUAGUCUGCAGAAUGAGAAAAGAUAGAAGAGGAAGAAGUGAUUUCUCAUUUGUUUUGAUUAUGGCAGCUUGUAUUGUAUUAGAGAUUACAAUUCUUUUUUAUUCUACAUGAUGAACCUGCACCUGAUAUUAGCUUU
Molecule: long non-coding RNA, 1066 nt
Organism: Olea europaea var. sylvestris
Lineage: Eukaryota; Viridiplantae; Streptophyta; Magnoliopsida; Lamiales; Oleaceae
Exons: 2
Source: RefSeq, a predicted model, not a curated record